UACAGAGGUCUCAAGCGUUGUUCGGAUUCAUUGGGCGUAAAGGGUGUGUAGGUGGCGCGCUAAGUCAGGUGUGAAAUUUUGGAGCUUAACUCCGAAACUGCAUUCGAUACUGGCGUGCUUGAGGACUGGAGAGGAGACUGGAAUUCCUGGUGUAGCGGUGAAAUGCGCAGAUAUCAGGAAGAACACCCGUGGCGAAGGCGGCUCUCUGGGACGGUACUGACGCUGAGACGCGAAAGCGUGGGGAGCGAACAGG
This 253-nucleotide ribosomal RNA is filed under the name uncultured bacterium. RNAcentral describes it as "partial 16S ribosomal RNA". It matches the Rfam family "Bacterial small subunit ribosomal RNA", at positions 524 to 776 of the family's 1533-position model. The record is from RNAcentral.